UACGUAGGGUGCGAGCGUUAAUCGGAAUUACUGGGCGUAAAGCGUGCGCAGGCGGCUUCGCAAGUCAGGCGUGAAAUCCCCGGGCUUAACCUGGGAACUGCAUCUUAAACUGGGAGGCUUGAGUACUGUAGAGGACAGUGGAAUUUCCGGUGUAGCGGUGAAAUGCGUAGAGAUCGGAAGGAACAUCAGUGGCGAAGGCGACUGUCUGGACAGAUACUGACGCUGAGGCGCGAAAGCGUGGGGAGCAAACAGG
RNAcentral lists this ribosomal RNA (253 nucleotides) under uncultured bacterium. RNAcentral's name for it is "partial 16S ribosomal RNA". It matches the Rfam family "Bacterial small subunit ribosomal RNA", at positions 524 to 776 of the family's 1533-position model. The record is from RNAcentral.